UACGUAGGGACCAAGCGUUGUUCGGAUUUACUGGGCGUAAAGGGCGCGUAGGCGGCGUGACAAGUCACUUGUGAAAUCUCCGGGCUUAACUCGGAACGGUCAAGUGAUACUGUCGUGCUAGAGUGCAGAAGGGGCAAUCGGAAUUCUUGGUGUAGCGGUGAAAUGCGUAGAUAUCAAGAGGAACACCUGAGGUGAAGACGGGUUGCUGGGCUGACACUGACGCUGAGGCGCGAAAGCUAGGGGAGCAAACGGG
RNAcentral lists this ribosomal RNA (253 nucleotides) under uncultured bacterium. Its description in RNAcentral is "partial 16S ribosomal RNA". It matches the Rfam family "Bacterial small subunit ribosomal RNA", at positions 524 to 776 of the family's 1533-position model. The record is from RNAcentral.